RNAcentral lists this ribosomal RNA (505 nucleotides) under uncultured bacterium. Its description in RNAcentral is "partial 16S ribosomal RNA". It matches the Rfam family "Bacterial small subunit ribosomal RNA", at positions 28 to 507 of the family's 1533-position model. The record is from RNAcentral.
GACGAACGCUGGCGGCGUGCCUAAUACAUGCAAGUAGAACGCACAGUUUAUACCUUUGCUUGCUACACCAUAGACUGUGAGUUGCGAACGGGUGAGUAACGCGUAGGUAACCUGCCUGGUAGCGUGUGAUAACUAUUUGAAACGUUAGCUAAUACCGCAUAAUAUUUAUUAUUGCAUGUUAAUUUAUUUUAAGUUUCUAUUUCAUCCCUACCUUAUGUACCUUCGUUGUAUUAGCUAGUAGGUGAGGUAACGGCUCACCUAUGCGACGAUACAUAGCCGAACUGAGAGGGUGAUCGGCCAAACUGGGAAUGAGACAAGGCCAAGAAUCAUACGGGAGGCAGCAGUAGGGAAACAUCGGCAAUGGACGAAAGUCUGACCGAGCAAAGCCGCGUGAGUGAAGAAGGUUUUCGGAUCGUAAAGCUCUGUUGUAAGAGAAGAAAGGGUGUGAGAGUGGAAAGUUCACACUGUGACGGUAUCUUAACAGAAAGGGACGGCUAACUACGUG